RNAcentral lists this ribosomal RNA (513 nucleotides) under uncultured bacterium. RNAcentral describes it as "bacterial SSU rRNA". It matches the Rfam family "Bacterial small subunit ribosomal RNA", at positions 25 to 518 of the family's 1533-position model. The record is from RNAcentral.
CAGAACGAACGCUGGCAGCGUGGAUUAGGCAUGCAAGUCGGACGGGAUCGGGAAGGUAGCAAUAUCGGCCCGUGAGAGUGGCGGAAGGGCGAGGAACACGUGGGCAACCUGUCCUUGAGGUGGGGAAAACCGCUGGAAACGGCGGCUAAUACCGAAUGUGGCGCGGGAGGGCAUCCUUCCAGCGCUAAAGGGGGCGAAAGCUCCCCCUCUUCGAGGGGCUCGCGCACCAUCAGCUUGUUGGCGGGGUAACGGCCCACCAAGGCUCACGGUUAGCUGGUCUGAGAGGAUGGCCAGCCGCACUGGGACUGAGAUACUGCCCAGACUCCUACGGGAGGCUGCAGUCGAGGAUCAUUCGCAAUGGGGGAAACCCUGACGAUGCGACGCUGCGUGGAAGGAUGAAGGCCCUCGGGUCGUAAACUCCUGUCAUGAGGGAAACGGCGAGGGGACCCAACACGUCCCUUAGUUGAUGGUACCUCAAGAGGAACGGGCGGCUAACUCUGUGCCAGCAGCCGC